RNAcentral lists this ribosomal RNA (497 nucleotides) under uncultured bacterium. Its description in RNAcentral is "partial 16S ribosomal RNA". It matches the Rfam family "Bacterial small subunit ribosomal RNA", at positions 28 to 507 of the family's 1533-position model. The record is from RNAcentral.
GACGAACGCUGGCGGCGUGCCUAAUACAUGCAAGUCGAGCGCUCAAGAGAGGAGCUUGCUCUUCUUGGAUGAGUUGCGAACGGGUGAGUAACGCGUAGGUAACCUGCCUUGUAGCGGGGGAUAACUAUUGGAAACGAUAGCUAAUACCGCAUAACAUUGUGUGCCACAUGUUUUUUAUUUGAAAGGCGCCAUUGCUCUAUUACAUCAUGGACUUGCGUUGUCUUAGCUAGUAGGUGAGGUAAUGGCGCACCUAGGCGACGGUACCUAGCCGACCUGAGAGGGUGGUCGGCCACACUGGGACUGAGACACGGCCCAGACGGCUACAGGAGGCAGCAGGAGGGAAACGUCGGGAAUGGGGGGAACCCAGACCGAGGAACGCCGCGGGAGUGAAGAAGGUUUUCGGGUCGGAAAGAUCGGUUGUAAGGGAAGAACGGGUGGGAGAGUGGAAAGUUCACAGUGUGACGGUAGCUUACCAGAAAGAGACGGCUAACUACGUG